AAUGAUCUGGAGCAGAUGUAGGAAGAUGCAAGGGAAUAAUAUAAGCAGGAAAAAUAUUUGCAAUAAUCAAGACAAGGGAUUGUGAAAGCAUGAACUAAUGUCUUGGUAGACACAGGUGCAUUUUGGAUAUGUAAUGAAAGUCACUGUAGCAUUCAGGAAGGACCUGGAUGUGAGGGGAGGAAACAGAAGUCUCAAAGAUGGGAAGAUUGCAAUCUAGUGGAGCUGGGAAACAUGUUGAUGACAAUGGAGAAAGAAGAUACAUUGAUUAGUAGGAAACAUUAGGUUCCAGUUACUGUUGUGUCCUACGGCAUUUUAUUCUGUGAGCCCCUGCCCUCCAAAAUACACCUUACAGACCUGGCCCCUGAAUAUCUCCAUUAUGUAGAAGGAAGAGCUACUGUGGUGGCUUUUACACCAUCUCCAGUCCUGACUGCUGGCAUAGGUGCUGGAACAAAAGGGCAUGACUCAGGCGCUGGAUGUGAUUUUAGAUAAUGACAUGAAAACCCAAACCUUGUGGAGCCUGCUGCCUGCCUUCUCUUUCCCCAACCUCAGCUGAGUAUGAGAAGCAAGACUCCUUGGGGGAUGAGAACAAGGAGGCCAGUGAAGAGAUCUCCACAGAAAGCCAGGAGCUCUUUUGGGUCUCGGCACCAUGAUGCCAACCAGGCAGAAGGUGAGCCUCAUUGCUACCCGGACUGGGAAUGAGACUGAUCCUACAGAGGGAACCUUGACAUCUAAGGAAGAGUGCUGUGGCUUAUUUCUUGGAAGACAGGCUCUGAAGAGGCCAUCUAUCACCUGUGGAGAAUAGCAGCCAUAAAAGCAAGAACCUCAGAGAUUCUAUAGCAUCUGCUUGCUAUGCAGGAUCAGACUUGCUGAGUUGGAACCUAAUAUUUUACCUACAGCCAAGAAAACUCCAUCUAGCAGUUUGGGAGUUGAGAUAGAAAUAUUAAACAAGAAGUGAUACUCCAGUAAGUUAUUGAAAUGUCUUCAUAUUUUUCAUUUAUGUCUGUCCCUGUCAUGGAAGCUGCUGUUGAAAUCUUUCGACAUUAACACUCUGCCAUUUAAAACUUAUCCUGCCAGCAUGCCAUCUGUUAUGAUCAGGGAACCACUUUCUACGUGAGUUGACUCCUACGCACAAUGCAUUUGCUGAACAGUUAUAAUUCACCUCUCACUUAAAAAGCACUACUUCUCAACUCAGACAAAACCAAGUCUAGGCUGCUGAUCCUCAUUCCCUCCCUCUUCUCCCUGGACCCAGCACAUCCAAUGCUUCUCAGAUCCACGGGACAAUUACAGUAUUUAAAGCUCAUUGGAAUUGAUCAAUGCUGUGUUCUAAGAUCAGUGUUGGUCAAAGGUUAGUUUUCCAUCUUCAUGAAUACUGCAGCAGCGGGGAGAGAAUGUGGACCCAGGAUUUCAUGCUUGUGUCAGCUGGGAGGGAUGAUUAGAUACAAUUCAAUUCAGGUA
Chelonia mydas (Green sea turtle) is the source of this 1455-nucleotide long non-coding RNA. RefSeq lists it as uncharacterized. The record is from RefSeq and is a predicted model, not a curated record. Lineage: Eukaryota; Metazoa; Chordata; Testudines; Cheloniidae. The transcript is spliced from 4 exons.